RNAcentral lists this ribosomal RNA (301 nucleotides) under uncultured bacterium. RNAcentral's name for it is "partial 16S ribosomal RNA". It matches the Rfam family "Bacterial small subunit ribosomal RNA", at positions 509 to 807 of the family's 1533-position model. The record is from RNAcentral.
CAGUCGCCACGGUAAUACGUAGGUGGCAAGCGUUGUCCGGAAUUAUUGGGCGUAAAGGGCUCGCAGGCGGUUUCUUAAGUCUGAUGUGAAAGCCCCCGGCUCAACCGGGGAGGGUCAAUGGAAACUGGGAAACUUGAGUGCAGAAGAGGAGAGCGGAAUUCCACGUGUAGCGGUGAAAUGCGUAGAGAUGUGGAGGAACACCAGUGGCGAAGGCGACUCUCUGGUCUGUAACUGACGCUGAGGAGCGAAAGCGUGGGGAGCGAACAGGAUUAGAUACCCCGGUAGUCCCUGUCUCUUAUAC